AUCCUUUUGUAGUUCAUAAGGGCAGUGAUUGGGUGUUCACAUGAAUGUGUGAGCCAGGCCUCCCUCGGACUUUGUUACAAUGUCAGCACAUUACCUGUCUGAUG
Nycticebus coucang (slow loris) is the source of this 104-nucleotide small nucleolar RNA. RefSeq annotates it as small nucleolar RNA U13. The transcript has a single exon. NCBI's taxonomy places the organism in Eukaryota, Metazoa, Chordata, Mammalia, Primates, Lorisidae. The record is from RefSeq and is a predicted model, not a curated record.